GGUUUUAUAACACUAGUCUAUUUGGGAAAACGAGUAUAGUAAUAACAAAUGCAGAUUUCUGGGUAUUAUUUAUUUCAGUGUUGUUAGGAGUAGGACGUAUCAAUGCAAACAGAUAUAGGAUUUUUUACUCUGCAUUGAAAGCAAAGGCCUCAUCCAUACAGGGUUGUUUUCCUCAGAUCAGGAAGGGAAACUUCAGGUUCAAUGGAGAUGCUCAAGAUGACUUGAACUCAUUUCUUGACACCCUCACAUGUUUGCAAAGGUCACUUCGCCAUUUUUCCAAUCUUCUAUCAGGCAUGUCUGCUGCGUACCACACCCCUGCUCCAAUUGAGCCAUUCAGUGGUUAUUAUUGCAGUCCUGGGUUUAGAGAGGCUUCUUACAAUCCUACCUACCAUCCCACUAUGUCAAGUUCUGCUCAAUCUCCUAACCCUCCAGUCUCAAGACAUGAUGAACCUACCAUGUUUGCAGGGUACCUUUCACCAAAACAGUAUCAACCGUCAGUUCAUGAGAGCACAGGUGCUACACAUACCGUCAUGCCUUGGUCAAGUCAGGAUCCCUACACUCGAUCCUCCCAUGCCACUCCAUCCAGCUCUGCUCUUUCGUGUAACCCUCCAGUCUCUGGAUAUCAUCAACCUGCCAUGUCGAGACGGCACAUUUCAGAUGCACCAUAUCAACCAAUGAUUGUAGAGCGGUCAGGAUCUAGCCGACCUCCGCCUAGUAAAAAUCAAUCCACUACAGGAUUCCAUUCAGCUUCCCAUUAUCCACCAAUUGCAUGGGAAAGAACAAGUAGACCAGCUUUUUCCAGUCAGGUAUCACAUUCCACCAACUUUUUGUUCCCAAUCCAAAGUACAAGCAGUAGUGGUAGAGACCACCCUCAACAGCAACCCAUGGGUGAUGUAUACUAUCCAAGAAGGACAUUACCACCAUCAGAU
Molecule: long non-coding RNA, 929 nt
Organism: Strongylocentrotus purpuratus (purple sea urchin)
Lineage: Eukaryota; Metazoa; Echinodermata; Echinoidea; Camarodonta; Strongylocentrotidae
Exons: 3
Source: RefSeq, a predicted model, not a curated record